UCAACUCACGUCAUGAAAUCAAAGAAGUUCCAGCUCUUGCACCAACUUUUGAACAAUUCUCAUGUUAUGUCUAUUGGGUUAUCAUCACCAUCGUUGCAAUUAUUACUCAGGGAUCCAAUUUAUGAGAAGCCGUUCGGAACUUGAAUGGUACCACGAUUCAAACUAAUGGUGUAAAGAAGUUAAUUGAUGAUUGGUUAUUUGAAAUGAUGUUUGUAAAGUUGGCACCGUUUGCAAGUAACCAAGAUGAAUAUAGAGACCAAUUCAGUUUUGUAGACUGUUUAUAGUGUUAUGGUUUCAGAACUUGUGGUUGCUGGAAUAUAAAGAGUUUGUUUUGUUGAGAGCUGUAUUUUGAAGAUAUACUACUAGAGCUUGGUAUUGCCGAGAGCUGCAGCUACUUGUUGGUAGAGCGGUCCAUUAUUCUGAACCCUGGUCUAUGCUUUUGAAUAUUUGAGUUGCAAAUUUUGUUUUUAGAGCAACAAGAGCAUUGUGUAAUACUAUUGUAUAUGUAGAUAUGUAAUUUUUAAGUAUUUGAUCAUGUAGUUUCUAUGUUUUCGAAUAUUAUAAAAU
Trifolium pratense (red clover) is the source of this 567-nucleotide long non-coding RNA. RefSeq lists it as uncharacterized. The record is from RefSeq and is a predicted model, not a curated record. The transcript has 3 exons. Lineage: Eukaryota; Viridiplantae; Streptophyta; Magnoliopsida; Fabales; Fabaceae.